RNAcentral lists this microRNA (21 nucleotides) under Monodelphis domestica (gray short-tailed opossum). Its description in RNAcentral is "mdo-miR-7388a-5p". The record is from miRBase by way of RNAcentral. Lineage: Eukaryota; Metazoa; Chordata; Mammalia; Didelphimorphia; Didelphidae.
AGUUGUACAGAUAUCACAUUU